UACGUAGGGUGCGAGCGUUGUCCGGAAUUACUGGGCGUAAAGAGCUCGUAGGUGGUUUGUCGCGUUGUUCGUGAAAACCGGGGGCUUAACCCUCGGCGUGCGGGCGAUACGGGCAGACUUGAGUACUGCAGGGGUGACUGGAAUUCCUGGUGUAGCGGUGGAAUGCGCAGAUAUCAGGAGGAACACCGGUGGCGAAGGCGGGUCUCUGGGCAGUAACUGACGCUGAGGAGCGAAAGCGUGGGGGGCGAACAGG
Molecule: ribosomal RNA, 253 nt
Filed under: uncultured bacterium
Lineage: Bacteria
Description: partial 16S ribosomal RNA
Rfam family: Bacterial small subunit ribosomal RNA
Source: RNAcentral